AUUUGACGUUAGCGACAGAAGAAGCACCGGCUAACUCCGUGCCAGCAGCCGCGGUAAUACGGAGGGUGCGAGCGUUAAUCGGAAUUACUGGGCGUAAAGCGCAUGCAGGUGGUUUGUUAAGUCAGAUGUGAAAGCCCGGGGCUCAACCUCGGAAUUGCAUUUGAAACUGGCAGACUAGAGUACUGUAGAGGGGGGUAGAAUUUCAGGUGUAGCGGUGAAAUGCGUAGAGAUCUGAAGGAAUACCGGUGGCGAAGGCGGCCCCCUGGACAGAUACUGACACUCAGAUGCGAAAGCGUGGGGAGCAAACAGGAUUAGAUACCCUGGUAGUCCACGCCGUAAACGAUGUCUACUUGGAGGUUGUGGCCUUGAGCCGUGGCUUUCGGAGCUAACGCGUUAAGUAGACCGCCUGGGGAGUACGGUCGCAAGAUUAAAACUCAAAUGAAUUGACGGGGGCCCGCACAAGCGGUGGAGCAUGUGGUUUAAUUCGAUGCAACGCGA
RNAcentral lists this ribosomal RNA (498 nucleotides) under Vibrio parahaemolyticus. RNAcentral describes it as "bacterial SSU rRNA". It matches the Rfam family "Bacterial small subunit ribosomal RNA", at positions 467 to 964 of the family's 1533-position model. Lineage: Bacteria; Pseudomonadati; Pseudomonadota; Gammaproteobacteria; Vibrionales; Vibrionaceae. The record is from RNAcentral.